This 41-nucleotide transfer RNA is filed under the name Anadenanthera colubrina. RNAcentral's name for it is "partial tRNA-His". Lineage: Eukaryota; Viridiplantae; Streptophyta; Magnoliopsida; Fabales; Fabaceae. The record is from RNAcentral.
GGCGGAUGUAGCCAAGUGGAUCAAUGCAGUGGAUUUGUGAA